Molecule: ribosomal RNA, 302 nt
Filed under: uncultured fungus
Lineage: Eukaryota; Fungi
Description: SSU rRNA
Rfam family: Eukaryotic small subunit ribosomal RNA
Source: RNAcentral
AAGCCAUGCAUGUCUAAGUAUAAGCAACUAUACUGUGAAACUGCGAAUGGCUCAUUAAAUCAGUUAUCGUUUAUUUGAUAGUACCUUACUACAUGGAUAACCGUGGUAAUUCUAGAGCUAAUACAUGCUAAAAACCUCGACUUCGGAAGGGGUGUAUUUAUUAGAUAAAAAACCAAUGCCCUUCGGGGCUCCCUGGUGAUUCAUAAUAACUUAACGAAUCGCAUGGCCUUGUGCCGGCGAUGGUUCAUUCAAAUUUCUGCCCUAUCAACUUUCGAUGGUAGGAUAGUGGCCUACCAUGGUUU